RNAcentral lists this ribosomal RNA (235 nucleotides) under uncultured bacterium. RNAcentral describes it as "partial 16S ribosomal RNA". It matches the Rfam family "Bacterial small subunit ribosomal RNA", at positions 100 to 334 of the family's 1533-position model. The record is from RNAcentral.
CGGGACGGGUGAGUAACGCGUGGAUAACCUGCCUCACACAGGGGAUAACAGUUAGAAAUGACUGCUAAUACCGCAUAAGCGCACGGUACCGCAUGGUACAGUGUGAAAAACUCCGGUGGUGUGAGAUGGAUCCGCGUCUGAUUAGGUAGUUGGUGAGGUAACGGCCCACCAAGCCGACGAUCAGUAGCCGACCUGAGAGGGUGACCGGCCACAUUGGGACUGAGACACGGCCCAA